UCUUCCUGGCCUGCCCCUCCCCCUUAUCCCUGACAUUCCUCCCCCAGCCCCUGUUUCCAGCAGGCCCCUCUCUGGGUUCUCCAGGUUUCCCAGAGGCCCCUGGGCCCCAAGCCAGGGAGGCCCUCCAUGGACUGUCCUGCCUACACCAGGGAGGGCCACGGCACGUCCUCACCACCAGCCACUGUCUCCGCUGCGGAGUGACUGGCCCUGGGCUAGACCAAGGACACUGCUGUGGGCCCUCUUUCCAGUCAAGCCUGAGGAGGUGAGCUCACCAGUCCAGCCUCACCUUCCUCUCCAAGAUGCCAUGAGACGCUCAGACCGCCGCCUCUCAGGGUCGAACAGGAGCACGCCCGCCUCCCUCUCACCCUCUGCCCUCCCCCGGCCUCUCUGCGGUGACCUCGCACUUUGCCCUCUACCUGGUGGGGAGGGGAGAGCUCAGCCUUCCCCCCGCCCGGGGCCUGAGGCCCACCGUCUGGCUGCAGAGAUUCAUUGCCAAAGAUUCGACAGACACUGAACAAAAUGUGGUGAGAAAACCCCACAGUGAAAAGCCACACGGUUGCUCUGUGACUUUUGCUUCUCCUGUUGCCCGAGUCCCAUCUCAAGCCAAAGACGAGUCAGCGGUUCCACUAGGGACUCAUGGAAGGGAUGGACACUUGGCGACCAUUGGAAGCGCUUGACCCUCUGACCCGAAACUCUCUUUCUACACUGGGCCCUGAGCCCGCUGGGUGCAAGAUAAGCCUUCUGGAGGCUGUGAGGGGCAGGGUGGGGGUGCCUGGAGGGAGUGGAUCUGAGAUCCCAGCCCAUUCUGUCCCUCCCACUGGCUGCCCAGGCCUCUGACCCUGAUUCUCAGUGUCCCCUGGGCCCAGGCUCCUUCUUGGGCCCUGAGCAUCAUGGGAAGGGAGUAAGGAGGGAAAGAAGCAAUAUUGACCACCUGUACCCCACCCCCAGGACUUGCCCCAGGGUGACCUGCCUAAGGGUCUUUGCUCGCUUAGCCAGCCCAACCAGCCACUCCUUGCCGGGGGCCUGCCCUCCUGGCUGGGCAAACGAGAUGGUGCCCGGCCUGGGGACCAGUGGUCUGUUACAGGUUGUGCAUGGGGACAGAGGUGGGGAAGGGACCAGGGGAAUGGGCCAGUCUGUGGGGAAGGGGGACAUGUUCAAAGCCAAGGCCUGCUCCUUCCUUGUGCUCAAAAGGCCAAAGCUGUUCACAUCUGUGCUCAACCAUCUGCUUCAAAUUGAAGUAAAAGCCCCAACGUGUAAAGAAAUCA
This is a non-coding RNA of Equus caballus (horse), 1265 nucleotides long. Lineage: Eukaryota; Metazoa; Chordata; Mammalia; Perissodactyla; Equidae. The record is from RefSeq and is a predicted model, not a curated record.